AGAGUUUGAUCCUGGCUCAGGAUAAACGCUGGCGGCGUGCCUAACACAUGCAAGUCGAACGUCCUACGCAAGUAGGGAGUGGCGGACGGGUGAGUAACACAUGGGUAUCUACCCUCAAGUGAGGAAUACCGGCGAGAAAUCGCCGACAAGACCGCAUACGCUUCGCAAGAAGCAAAGCUCGCAAGGGCGCUUGGGGAUGAGCCUGUGGCCGAUUAGUUAGCUGGUGGGGUAAAGGCCUACCAGGACCACGAUCGGUAGCUGGUCUGAGAGGACGAUCAGCCACACUGGGAUUGAGAACGGCCCAGACUCCUACGGGGGGCAGCAGUGAGGAAUUUUCGUCAAUGGGGGCAACCCUGAACGAGCAACGCCGCGUGCAGGAAGAAGGUUUUCGGAUCGUAAACUGCUUUUCUCUGGGACGAGUAAGGACGGUACCAGAGGAAGAAGCCCCGGCUAACUACGUGCCAGCAGCCGCGGUAAUACGUAGGGGGCAAGCGUUGUCCGGAUUUAUUGGGCGUAAAGCGUCCGCAGGCGGUCUGUUAAGUUUGGGGUGACAGUGCCCGGCUCAACUGGGCAAGUGCUUCGAAAACUGGCAGACUUGAGGGCUUCAGAGGAAAGCGGAACUCCGGGUGGAGUGGUGAAAUGCGUAGAUAUCCGGAAGAACACCGAUGGCGUAGGCAGCUUUCUGGGAAGAACCUGACGCUCAGGGACGAAAGCUAGGGGAGCAAACGGGAUUAGAUACCCCGGUAGUCC
RNAcentral lists this ribosomal RNA (750 nucleotides) under uncultured bacterium. RNAcentral's name for it is "bacterial SSU rRNA". It matches the Rfam family "Bacterial small subunit ribosomal RNA", at positions 8 to 796 of the family's 1533-position model. The record is from RNAcentral.